AGAAAUAACAAAAAAAAAAAAAAAAAAGAGAAGAAAAUUAUAAAAAUAUUGAAUCGAAAUAGAUGAAGCAACGAAUCAAAAAUGUUUAUUCUCCUUCCUUCCCUCCUGCUCCUU
RNAcentral lists this non-coding RNA (114 nucleotides) under Lotharella oceanica. The record is from RNAcentral. Lineage: Eukaryota; Cercozoa; Chlorarachniophyceae.